UACGGGGGGGGCAAGCGUUGUUCGGAAUUACUGGGCGUAAAGGGCUCGUAGGCGGCCAACUAAGUCGGAUGUGAAAUCCCCAGGCUUAACCUGGGAACUGCAUCCGAUACUGGAUGGCUUGAAUCCGGGAGAGGGAUGCGGAAUUCCAGGUGUAGCGGUGAAAUGCGUAGAUAUCGGGAGGAACACCUGUGGCGAAAGCGGCUCACUGGACCAUAACUGACGCUGAUGCACGAAAGCUAGGGGAGCAAACAGG
This 253-nucleotide ribosomal RNA is filed under the name uncultured bacterium. RNAcentral describes it as "partial 16S ribosomal RNA". It matches the Rfam family "Bacterial small subunit ribosomal RNA", at positions 524 to 776 of the family's 1533-position model. The record is from RNAcentral.